CGGUCUGAGGUGGAGGAGAUGA
Molecule: unclassified non-coding RNA, 22 nt
Filed under: Mus musculus (house mouse)
Lineage: Eukaryota; Metazoa; Chordata; Mammalia; Rodentia; Muridae
Description: oocyte_clustered_small_RNA13865
Source: RNAcentral